RNAcentral lists this transfer RNA (84 nucleotides) under Gemmatimonas groenlandica. It matches the Rfam family "tRNA". Rfam says of the family: Transfer RNA (tRNA) molecules are approximately 80 nucleotides in length. Their secondary structure includes four short double-helical elements and three loops (D, anti-codon, and T loops). Lineage: Bacteria; Pseudomonadati; Gemmatimonadota; Gemmatimonadia; Gemmatimonadales; Gemmatimonadaceae. The record is from Rfam by way of RNAcentral.
GCCGGAGUGGUGGAAUUGGUAGACGCGCUGCGUUCAGGUCGCAGUAUCCGCAAGGAUGUGCCGGUUCGAGUCCGGCCUUCGGCA